UGGGUGGCUCAUUAAGUGGGAGUAGAAUGGAUUAUCAACUCUUUAGGAUCAUAUGCGAAGAAAUCAGGAGAAAUCAUUGUCCACCUAGUCUCACCCAGCACUAUUGCCUGUAGAUGGUUACCAGAUUGAAAUUAUAAUACAUUUUGUACCGUGAAUUAAUUUGAUUAUCUCCUCAAAAAAUGUUCCGGUCUUUGCGGAGAUAAUCAUAUUAAUUCAAGGU
Molecule: unclassified non-coding RNA, 220 nt
Filed under: Hevea brasiliensis (rubber tree)
Lineage: Eukaryota; Viridiplantae; Streptophyta; Magnoliopsida; Malpighiales; Euphorbiaceae
Source: RNAcentral